RNAcentral lists this ribosomal RNA (492 nucleotides) under uncultured bacterium. RNAcentral describes it as "partial 16S ribosomal RNA". It matches the Rfam family "Bacterial small subunit ribosomal RNA", at positions 29 to 507 of the family's 1533-position model. The record is from RNAcentral.
AGUGAACGCUGGCGGUAGGCCUAACACAUGCAAGUCGAACGGCAGCACAGUAAGAGCUUGCUCUUACGGGUGGCGAGUGGCGGACGGGUGAGGAAUACAUCGGAAUCUACUUUUUCGUGGGGGAUAACGUAGGGAAACUUACGCUAAUACCGCAUACGACCUACGGGUGAAAGCAGGGGAUCUUCGGACCUUGCGCGAUUGAAUGAGCCGAUGUCGGAUUAGCUAGUUGGCGGGGUAAAGGCCCACCAAGGCGACGAUCCGUAGCUGGUCUGAGAGGAUGAUUAGCCACACUGGAAAUGGGACACGGUCCAGAGUCCUACGGGAGGCAGCAGUGGGGAAUAUUGGACAAUGGGCGCAAGCCUGAUCCAGCCAUACCGCGUGGGUGAAGAAGGCCUUCGGGUUGUAAAGCCCUUUUGUUGGGAAAGAAAAGCAGCAGGUUAAUACCCCGCUGUUCUGACGGUACCCAAAGAAUAAGCACCGGCUAACUUCGUG